RNAcentral lists this ribosomal RNA (1528 nucleotides) under Klebsiella pneumoniae. RNAcentral's name for it is "bacterial SSU rRNA". It matches the Rfam family "Bacterial small subunit ribosomal RNA". Lineage: Bacteria; Pseudomonadati; Pseudomonadota; Gammaproteobacteria; Enterobacterales; Enterobacteriaceae. The record is from RNAcentral.
AGAGUUUGAUCAUGGCUCAGAUUGAACGCUGGCGGCAGGCCUAACACAUGCAAGUCGAGCGGUAGCACAGAGAGCUUGCUCUCGGGUGACGAGCGGCGGACGGGUGAGUAAUGUCUGGGAAACUGCCUGAUGGAGGGGGAUAACUACUGGAAACGGUAGCUAAUACCGCAUAAUGUCGCAAGACCAAAGUGGGGGACCUUCGGGCCUCAUGCCAUCAGAUGUGCCCAGAUGGGAUUAGCUAGUAGGUGGGGUAACGGCUCACCUAGGCGACGAUCGCUAGCUGGUCUGAGAGGAUGACCAGCCACACUGGAACUGAGACACGGUCCAGACUCCUACGGGAGGCAGCAGUGGGGAAUAUUGCACAAUGGGCGCAAGCCUGAUGCAGCCAUGCCGCGUGUGUGAAGAAGGCCUUCGGGUUGUAAAGCACUUUCAGCGGGGAGGAAGGCGAUAAGGUUAAUAACCUUGUCGAUUGACGUUACCCGCAGAAGAAGCACCGGCUAACUCCGUGCCAGCAGCCGCGGUAAUACGGAGGGUGCAAGCGUUAAUCGGAAUUACUGGGCGUAAAGCGCACGCAGGCGGUCUGUCAAGUCGGAUGUGAAAUCCCCGGGCUCAACCUGGGAACUGCAUUCGAAACUGGCAGGCUAGAGUCUUGUAGAGGGGGGUAGAAUUCCAGGUGUAGCGGUGAAAUGCGUAGAGAUCUGGAGGAAUACCGGUGGCGAAGGCGGCCCCCUGGACAAAGACUGACGCUCAGGUGCGAAAGCGUGGGGAGCAAACAGGAUUAGAUACCCUGGUAGUCCACGCCGUAAACGAUGUCGAUUUGGAGGUUGUGCCCUUGAGGCGUGGCUUCCGGAGCUAACGCGUUAAAUCGACCGCCUGGGGAGUACGGCCGCAAGGUUAAAACUCAAAUGAAUUGACGGGGGCCCGCACAAGCGGUGGAGCAUGUGGUUUAAUUCGAUGCAACGCGAAGAACCUUACCUGGUCUUGACAUCCACAGAACUUUCCAGAGAUGGAUUGGUGCCUUCGGGAACUGUGAGACAGGUGCUGCAUGGCUGUCGUCAGCUCGUGUUGUGAAAUGUUGGGUUAAGUCCCGCAACGAGCGCAACCCUUAUCCUUUGUUGCCAGCGGUNCGGCCGGGAACUCAAAGGAGACUGCCAGUGAUAAACUGGAGGAAGGUGGGGAUGACGUCAAGUCAUCAUGGCCCUUACGACCAGGGCUACACACGUGCUACAAUGGCAUAUACAAAGAGAAGCGACCUCGCGAGAGCAAGCGGACCUCAUAAAGUAUGUCGUAGUCCGGAUUGGAGUCUGCAACUCGACUCCAUGAAGUCGGAAUCGCUAGUAAUCGUAGAUCAGAAUGCUACGGUGAAUACGUUCCCGGGCCUUGUACACACCGCCCGUCACACCAUGGGAGUGGGUUGCAAAAGAAGUAGGUAGCUUAACCUUCGGGAGGGCGCUUACCACUUUGUGAUUCAUGACUGGGGUGAAGUCGUAACAAGGUAACCGUAGGGGAACCUGCGGUUGGAUCACCU